This 253-nucleotide ribosomal RNA is filed under the name uncultured Eubacteriales bacterium. Its description in RNAcentral is "uncultured Clostridiales bacterium partial 16S ribosomal RNA". It matches the Rfam family "Bacterial small subunit ribosomal RNA", at positions 524 to 776 of the family's 1533-position model. The record is from RNAcentral. Lineage: Bacteria; Bacillati; Bacillota; Clostridia; Eubacteriales.
UACGUAGGUGGCGAGCGUUGUCCGGAUUUACUGGGUGUACAGGGAGCGUAGACGGCGAUGCAAGUCUGAAGUGAAAGGCCGGGGCCCAACCCCGGGACCGCUCUGGAAACUGCCCGGCUGGAGUGCGGGAGAGGUAAGCGGAAUUCCUAGUGUAGCGGUGAAAUGCGUAGAUAUUAGGAGGAACACCAGCGGCGAAGGCGGCUUACUGGACCGUGACUGACGUUGAGGCUCGAAAGCGUGGGGAGCAAACAGG